CGAGCGAGAACCCGCAAGGGGACAGCGGCGAACGGGGUAGGACAACGUAGGUGACGUACCCUCGGGGCGAGGACAGCCACGGGAAACUGUGGAUAAUACUCGAUAAAGUUCCCAAAUCGUGAUGGAAGGGGAACCAAUGGGUGAGAUUCCACCUGAGGAGCGGCUUACGCAGCAUCAGCUAGUUGGUGAGGUAACGGCUCACCAAGGCGACGACGCUUAGGGGAUGUGAGAGCAUGAUCCCCACCACUGGCACUGAGACACUGGCCAGACACCUACGGUUGGCUGCAGUCGAGAAUCUUCGGCAAUGGGCUCAAGCCUGACCGAGCGACGCCGCGUGCGGGAUGAAGGCCCUCGGGUUGUAAACCGCUGUCGGAGGGGAUGAAGUGUAUGGGAGUUAUCUCCUGUAUUUGACAGAGCCUCGGAGGAAGCACGGGCUAAGCUCGUGCCAGCAGCCGCGGUAAUACGAACUGUGCGAACGUUAUUCGGAAUCACUGGGCUUAAAGGGUGCGUAGGCGGUUUCUUAAGUCAGGUGUGAAAUCUUUCGGCUCAACCGGAAAACUGCGCUUGAUACUGGGAGACUUGAGUGAGGUAGGGGUAUGUGGAACUUCCGGUGGAGCGGUGAAAAUGUGUAGGUAUCGGAAGGAACGCCAGCAGCGAAAGCGGCAUACUGGGCCUUUUCUGACGCUGAGGCACGAAAGCCAGGGGAGCGGACGGGAUUAG
Molecule: ribosomal RNA, 720 nt
Filed under: uncultured verrucomicrobium DEV033
Lineage: Bacteria; Pseudomonadati; Verrucomicrobiota
Description: bacterial SSU rRNA
Rfam family: Bacterial small subunit ribosomal RNA
Source: RNAcentral